This 1533-nucleotide ribosomal RNA is filed under the name Klebsiella pneumoniae. Its description in RNAcentral is "bacterial SSU rRNA". It matches the Rfam family "Bacterial small subunit ribosomal RNA". Lineage: Bacteria; Pseudomonadati; Pseudomonadota; Gammaproteobacteria; Enterobacterales; Enterobacteriaceae. The record is from RNAcentral.
UUGAAGAGUUUGAUCAUGGCUCAGAUUGAACGCUGGCGGCAGGCCUAACACAUGCAAGUCGAGCGGUAGCACAGAGAGCUUGCUCUCGGGUGACGAGCGGCGGACGGGUGAGUAAUGUCUGGGAAACUGCCUGAUGGAGGGGGAUAACUACUGGAAACGGUAGCUAAUACCGCAUAAUGUCGCAAGACCAAAGUGGGGGACCUUCGGGCCUCAUGCCAUCAGAUGUGCCCAGAUGGGAUUAGCUAGUAGGUGGGGUAACGGCUCACCUAGGCGACGAUCCCUAGCUGGUCUGAGAGGAUGACCAGCCACACUGGAACUGAGACACGGUCCAGACUCCUACGGGAGGCAGCAGUGGGGAAUAUUGCACAAUGGGCGCAAGCCUGAUGCAGCCAUGCCGCGUGUGUGAAGAAGGCCUUCGGGUUGUAAAGCACUUUCAGCGGGGAGGAAGGCGGUGAGGUUAAUAACCUCAUCGAUUGACGUUACCCGCAGAAGAAGCACCGGCUAACUCCGUGCCAGCAGCCGCGGUAAUACGGAGGGUGCAAGCGUUAAUCGGAAUUACUGGGCGUAAAGCGCACGCAGGCGGUCUGUCAAGUCGGAUGUGAAAUCCCCGGGCUCAACCUGGGAACUGCAUUCGAAACUGGCAGGCUAGAGUCUUGUAGAGGGGGGUAGAAUUCCAGGUGUAGCGGUGAAAUGCGUAGAGAUCUGGAGGAAUACCGGUGGCGAAGGCGGCCCCCUGGACAAAGACUGACGCUCAGGUGCGAAAGCGUGGGGAGCAAACAGGAUUAGAUACCCUGGUAGUCCACGCCGUAAACGAUGUCGAUUUGGAGGUUGUGCCCUUGAGGCGUGGCUUCCGGAGCUAACGCGUUAAAUCGACCGCCUGGGGAGUACGGCCGCAAGGUUAAAACUCAAAUGAAUUGACGGGGGCCCGCACAAGCGGUGGAGCAUGUGGUUUAAUUCGAUGCAACGCGAAGAACCUUACCUUGGUCUUGACAUCCACAGAACUUUCCAGAGAUGGAUUGGUGCCUUCGGGAACUGUGAGACAGGUGCUGCAUGGCUGUCGUCAGCUCGUGUUGUGAAAUGUUGGGUUAAGUCCCGCAACGAGCGCAACCCUUAUCCUUUGUUGCCAGCGGUCCGGCCGGGAACUCAAAGGAGACUGCCAGUGAUAAACUGGAGGAAGGUGGGGAUGACGUCAAGUCAUCAUGGCCCUUACGACCGGGCUACACGUGCUACAAUGGCAUAUACAAAGAGAAGCGACCUCGCGAGAGCAAGCGGACCUCAUAAAGUAUGUCGUAGUCCGGAUUGAGUCUGCAACUCGACUCCAUGAAGUCGGAAUCGCUAGUAAUCGUAGAUCAGAAUGCUACGGUGAAUACGUUCCCGGGCCUUGUACACACCGCCCGUCACACCAUGGGAGUGGGUUGCAAAAGAAGUAGGUAGCUUAACCUUCGGGAGGGCGCUUACCACUUUGUGAUUCAUGACUGGGGUGAAGUCGUAACAAGGUAACCGUAGGGGAACCUGCGGUUGGAUCACCUCCUU